GCUCAUCUAGCUCAGUCGGUAGAGUGCAAGGCUUUUAACCUUAAAGUUGUGGGUUCAAGCCCCAUUAUGGGUG
This 73-nucleotide transfer RNA is filed under the name Zea mays. It matches the Rfam family "tRNA". Rfam says of the family: Transfer RNA (tRNA) molecules are approximately 80 nucleotides in length. Their secondary structure includes four short double-helical elements and three loops (D, anti-codon, and T loops). Lineage: Eukaryota; Viridiplantae; Streptophyta; Magnoliopsida; Poales; Poaceae. The record is from Rfam by way of RNAcentral.